This 89-nucleotide small nucleolar RNA is filed under the name Exophiala spinifera. RNAcentral describes it as "Small nucleolar RNA snR73". It matches the Rfam family "Small nucleolar RNA snR73". The record is from Rfam by way of RNAcentral. Lineage: Eukaryota; Fungi; Ascomycota; Eurotiomycetes; Chaetothyriales; Herpotrichiellaceae.
UUACAUGAUGAUUUACUCUAUUUUAUCACGACGGUCAACGUAGCCAAUGCAUUGACGACCACAGCCUGUGACAGGGCUUAGAUCUGAAA